UGCCAGCCGCCGCGGUAAUACGUAGGGGGCCAGCGUUGUCCGGAAUCAUUGGGCGUAAAGCGCGUGUAGGCGGUUCGAUAGGUCCGAUGUGAAAACUCGAGGCUCAACUUCGAGAGGUCAUCGGAAACCAUCGGACUAGAGUCCGGAAGAGGAGAGUGGAAUUCCUGGUGUAGCGGUGAAAUGCGCAGAUAUCAGGAAGAACACCGAUGGCGAAGGCAGCUCUCUGGGACGGUACUGACGCUAAGACGCGAAAGCGUGGGGAGCGAACAGGAUUAGAUA
Molecule: ribosomal RNA, 279 nt
Filed under: uncultured bacterium
Lineage: Bacteria
Description: partial 16S ribosomal RNA
Rfam family: Bacterial small subunit ribosomal RNA
Source: RNAcentral